RNAcentral lists this ribosomal RNA (524 nucleotides) under uncultured bacterium. Its description in RNAcentral is "bacterial SSU rRNA". It matches the Rfam family "Bacterial small subunit ribosomal RNA", at positions 28 to 545 of the family's 1533-position model. The record is from RNAcentral.
AUUGAACGCUGGCGGCAGGCCUAACACAUGCAAGUCGAGCGGCAGCACGGGAGCUUGCUCCUGGUGGCGAGCGGCGGACGGGUGAGUAAUGCCUAGGAAUCUGCCUGUUAGUGGGGGAUAACUCGGGGAAACUCGAGCUAAUACCGCAUACGUCCUACGGGAGAAAGUGGGGGACCUUCGGGCCUCACGCUAACAGAUGAGCCUAGGUCGGAUUAGCUAGUUGGUGGGGUAAAGGCCUACCAAGGCGACGAUCCGUAGCUGGUCUGAGAGGAUGAUCAGCCACACUGGAACUGAGACACGGUCCAGACUCCUACGGGAGGCAGCAGUGGGGAAUAUUGGACAAUGGGCGCAAGCCUGAUCCAGCCAUGCCGCGUGUGUGAAGAAGGUCUUCGGAUUGUAAAGCACUUUAAGUUGGGAGGAAGGGCUGUUACCUAAUACGUGACAGUUUUGACGUUACCAACAGAAUAAGCACCGGCUAACUUCGUGCCAGCAGCCGCGGUAAUACGAAGGGUGCGAGCGUUAAU